This 66-nucleotide microRNA precursor is filed under the name Myotis davidii. RNAcentral's name for it is "mir-9242 microRNA precursor family". It matches the Rfam family "mir-9242 microRNA precursor family". Lineage: Eukaryota; Metazoa; Chordata; Mammalia; Chiroptera; Vespertilionidae. The record is from Rfam by way of RNAcentral.
GGCCUCCCUCUGUGGGGUGAUCGAUCUGGGGGCCCCGCAAUUGAUCGCCCCACAGAGGGAGAGGCC